RNAcentral lists this long non-coding RNA (228 nucleotides) under Vitis vinifera (wine grape). RNAcentral's name for it is "long non-coding RNA (VVIN_LNC003538)". The record is from RNAcentral. Lineage: Eukaryota; Viridiplantae; Streptophyta; Magnoliopsida; Vitales; Vitaceae.
AAGAGACUGGUGGGAAGAUCUCAAUGAACUUAACACUCAAACACAUAAUAUAUCCAACAUGUAGCUCAUACUGGAGAAAGCAAAGAUCAAAUAAACAAAAGUCAGAAACAAGUUUGCCUCCUUAGGUAAUCAAAGCAAUCAUUUGAAUAUAUGCAAGAAACGUAAGGUGAUCCUCAAAAAUAAGAUAAGAUGAAGUAAGAGAUAAUCAAACCUGACUGAUUCUUCUCC